UAGGAUAAGCCAGAAAGGUGGCACUUGU
Molecule: non-coding RNA, 28 nt
Filed under: Macaca fascicularis (crab-eating macaque)
Lineage: Eukaryota; Metazoa; Chordata; Mammalia; Primates; Cercopithecidae
Also listed under: 1 other name
Source: RNAcentral